GUGCUCACUUAAGCAGCACAUAUACUAAAACUGAAACAAUGCAAAGAAGAUUAGCAUGGCCCCUGUGUAAGGAUGACACACAAAUUUGUAAAGUAUUUGAUAUAUUU
Molecule: small nuclear RNA, 107 nt
Organism: Molossus molossus (Pallas's mastiff bat)
Lineage: Eukaryota; Metazoa; Chordata; Mammalia; Chiroptera; Molossidae
Source: RefSeq, a predicted model, not a curated record